AUACGUAGGGGGCAAGCGUUGUCCGGAAUUAUUGGGCGUAAAGAGCACGUAGGCGGCUAUUUAAGUCAGAUGUGAAAACCUGAGGCUCAACCACAGGAUUGCAUUUGAAACUGGAUAGCUUGAGUGCAGGAGAGGAGAGUGGAAUUCCCAGUGUAGCGGUGAAAUGCGUAGAUAUUGGGAAGAACACCAGUGGCGAAGGCGAUUCUCUGGCCUGCAACUGACGCUGAGGUGCGAAAGCGUGGGGAGCGAACGGGAUUAGAUACCCCGGUAGUCCACGCCGUAAACGAUGGGUACUAGGUGUAGGAGGUAUCGACCCCUUCUGUGCCGCAGCUAACGCAUUAAGUACCCCGCCUGGGGAGUACGGUCGCAAGACUGAA
RNAcentral lists this ribosomal RNA (377 nucleotides) under uncultured bacterium. Its description in RNAcentral is "bacterial SSU rRNA". It matches the Rfam family "Bacterial small subunit ribosomal RNA", at positions 523 to 898 of the family's 1533-position model. The record is from RNAcentral.